GAGUUUGAUCCUGGCUCAGAUUGAACGCUGGCGGCAUGCCUUACACAUGCAAGUCGAACGGCAGCACGGGGGCAACCCUGGUGGCGAGUGGCGAACGGGUGAGUAAUACAUCGGAACGUGUCCUGUAGUGGGGGAUAGCCCGGCGAAAGCCGGAUUAAUACCGCAUACGAUCUACGGAAGAAAGCGGGGGAUCGCAAGACCUCGCGCUAUAGGGGCGGCCGAUGGCAGAUUAGCUAGUUGGUGGGGUAAAGGCCUACCAAGGCGACGAUCUGUAGCUGGUCUGAGAGGACGACCAGCCACACUGGGACUGAGACACGGCCCAGACUCCUACGGGAGGCAGCAGUGGGGAAUUUUGGACAAUGGGGGCAACCCUGAUCCAGCAAUGCCGCGUGUGUGAAGAAGGCCUUCGGGUUGUAAAGCACUUUUGUCCGGAAAGAAAACUUCCUGGUUAAUACCUGGGGAGGAUGACGGUACCGGAAGAAUAAGCACCGGCUAACUACGUGCCAGCAGCCGCGGUAAUACG
RNAcentral lists this ribosomal RNA (523 nucleotides) under uncultured eubacterium WR114. RNAcentral describes it as "bacterial SSU rRNA". It matches the Rfam family "Bacterial small subunit ribosomal RNA", at positions 9 to 527 of the family's 1533-position model. The record is from RNAcentral.